AAAAGAUUUUCGAAAGAGUAUAUGGAGGAUGCCUUGGCAUGAAAGACCGAUGAAGGACGCAGUAGGCGUGCGAUACGCUUCGGGGAGGAGCCAAACUUCCUUUGAUCCGAAGAUUUCCGAAUGGGGUAACCCCGCUAUCGAAGAGAUAGUGAUCCAACAUCUAUCCUCUCAGCGUGAGACGAGCCCUCCUGAUCCAUUAAAAUUUUAGGGAUCAAGAAAAAGGGUCUUUAUAAAUCGUUUCAUACUGGGGGACAGGUGUUGGAUGGGCACCCGGUGAACUGAAACAUCUAAGUAACCGGAGGAAUAUAAAACAACACUCACUCUACAGUGAGAUAUGGUCUGAUUUCUACUUGCAAAAUAGCUCAAGACAAGCAAUUGUCUUUUGCCUUUUGCGAACGAAGUCAGGACAUAUGUGAUUCCCUGAGUAGCGGCGAGCGAAACGGGAAUAGCCUGAUUAGAGCUUACUAAGUAAAAAAUUAGCCGAACGAGCCUGGAAAGGACGACCAAAGCGGGUAAUAGUCCCGUAGGCGAAAAUUUUUUACUGAUGCAAUAAUCCUUUUCACCAAUUUAUUGGUGAAAUGAAGUACUAUUGGACACGUGAAAUCCAGUAGGAAGAAAACUCAAACACCCUUCGGGGCUAUGAGCGGGAGGAUCGUCUCCCAAGGCUAAAUAUCUUUCAUGACCGAUAGUGAACUAGUAC
This 700-nucleotide ribosomal RNA is filed under the name Candidatus Berkelbacteria bacterium. RNAcentral describes it as "partial 23S ribosomal RNA". It matches the Rfam family "Bacterial large subunit ribosomal RNA", at positions 1 to 501 of the family's 2925-position model. Lineage: Bacteria; Candidatus Berkelbacteria. The record is from RNAcentral.